Molecule: ribosomal RNA, 225 nt
Filed under: Triticum aestivum (bread wheat)
Lineage: Eukaryota; Viridiplantae; Streptophyta; Magnoliopsida; Poales; Poaceae
Description: partial small subunit ribosomal RNA
Source: RNAcentral
AUGGCGUCGAUCUCGAGCCCGCUGCCGGUGGCCUGGUACCCCGCGCUAGCCGUCCUCACGGUCGCCGUCGGCCUCAUGCUCACCGCCUCCUUCUUCAUUUAUGAAGCGACCGUAUCCACGCGCAGCCGAAGCUUAGCCAAGGAGCUCACCACCGCAGCUGUUGCUUCCGUUUUUCUGGGUUUUGGAUCUCUUUUUGUUCUCCUGGCAAGUGGUGUUUAUGUCUGA